CCCUUAGAUGUCCGGGACUGCACGCGCGCUACACUGAAGGAAUCAGCGUGCUAAAACCAUUGUCGAAAGGCAUUGGUAAACCCAUUAAAAUCCUACGUGAUUGGGAUCGGGAAUUGCAAUUAUUUCCCUUGAACGAGGAAUUCCCAGUAAGUGUGGGUCAUAAGCUCGCGUUGAUUACGUCCCUGCCCUUUGUACACACCGCCCGUCGCUGCCCGGGACUGAGCCGUUUCGAGAAAAGCGGGGACUGCUGCUGUCGGGGCUUUCGGGCCUUGGCUUCGGUGGAAACCGCUUUAAUCGCAGUGGCUUGAACCGGGCAAAANUCGUANCA
RNAcentral lists this ribosomal RNA (328 nucleotides) under uncultured eukaryote. RNAcentral's name for it is "partial 18S ribosomal RNA". It matches the Rfam family "Eukaryotic small subunit ribosomal RNA", at positions 1470 to 1796 of the family's 1831-position model. The record is from RNAcentral.